Molecule: ribosomal RNA, 287 nt
Filed under: Pseudomonas sp. July_KB2A2
Lineage: Bacteria; Pseudomonadati; Pseudomonadota; Gammaproteobacteria; Pseudomonadales; Pseudomonadaceae
Description: partial 16S ribosomal RNA
Rfam family: Bacterial small subunit ribosomal RNA
Source: RNAcentral
CCCGUAACGAGCGCAACCCUUGUCCUUAGUUACCAGCACGUAAUGGUGGGCACUCUAAGGAGACUGCCGGUGACAAACCGGAGGAAGGUGGGGAUGACGUCAAGUCAUCAUGGCCCUUACGGCGUGGGCUACACACGUGCUACAAUGGUCGGUACAGAGGGUUGCCAAGCCGCGAGGUGGAGCUAAUCCCACAAAACCGAUCGUAGUCCGGAUCGCAGUCUGCAACUCGACUGCGUGAAGUCGGAAUCGCUAGUAAUCGCGAAUCAGAAUGGCGCGGGGAAUACGUU